This 122-nucleotide small nucleolar RNA is filed under the name Salmo trutta (river trout). RNAcentral describes it as "Small nucleolar RNA SNORA49 (ENSSTUG00000047160.1)". It matches the Rfam family "Small nucleolar RNA SNORA49". Rfam says of the family: The snoRNA ACA49 has no identified RNA target. The record is from Rfam by way of RNAcentral. Lineage: Eukaryota; Metazoa; Chordata; Actinopteri; Salmoniformes; Salmonidae.
CUUCCCCUCCCUUACUCCAGUCACUCUGUACUCAGUGGUCUGGCAUUGACAGGGGAUACAGCACCGUGGCCCUCUCAUCUAGGACUAUUCUCCUAUAUGAGGCUUGUGAGAGAGCUGACAAU